RNAcentral lists this ribosomal RNA (440 nucleotides) under uncultured bacterium. RNAcentral's name for it is "partial 16S ribosomal RNA". It matches the Rfam family "Bacterial small subunit ribosomal RNA", at positions 338 to 795 of the family's 1533-position model. The record is from RNAcentral.
CCUACGGGUGGCAGCAGUGGGGGAUAUUGCACAAUGGUGGGAACCCUGAUGCAGCGACGCCGCGUGGGUGAAGGAGCGUUUCGGCGCGUAAAGCCCUAUCGGCAGGGAAGAAGGAGGACGGUACCUGACUAAGAAGCCCCGGCUAACUACGUGCCAGCAGCCGCGGUAAUACGUAGGGGGCAAGCGUUAUCCGGAUUUAUUGGGUUUAAAGGGUGCGUAGGCGUAUCGUUAAGUCAGUGGUCAAAUUGAGGGGCUCAACCCCUUCCCGCCAUUGAAACUGGCGCUCGUGAGUGGAAGAGAAGUAUGCGGAAUGCGUGGUGUAGCGGUGAAAUGCAUAGAUAUCACGCAGAACCCCGAUUGCGAAGGCAGCAUGCCGGCUUCCGACUGACGCUGAAGCACGAAAGCGUGGGGAUCGAACAGGAUUAGAUACCCUUGUAGUC